GGGGCUGUAGCUCAGCUGGGAGAGUACUUGCAUGGCAUGCAAGGGGUCGAGGGUUCGAAUCCCUCCAGCUCCACCA
RNAcentral lists this transfer RNA (76 nucleotides) under Candidatus Omnitrophota bacterium. Its description in RNAcentral is "Candidatus Omnitrophica bacterium tRNA-Ala". It matches the Rfam family "tRNA". Rfam says of the family: Transfer RNA (tRNA) molecules are approximately 80 nucleotides in length. The record is from RNAcentral. RNAcentral also lists the same sequence under 1 other name. Lineage: Bacteria; Pseudomonadati; Candidatus Omnitrophota.